UACACUCCUGCGGGAGGCAGCAGUGGGGAAUAUUGGAAAAUGGGCGCAAGCCUGAUCCAGCCAUGCCGCGUGAGUGAUGAAGGCCCUAGGGUUGUAAAGCUCUUUCACCGGUGAAGAUAAUGACGGUAACCGGAGAAGAAGCCCCGGCUAACUUCGUGCCAGCAGCCGCGGUAAUACGAAGGGGGCUAGCGUUGUUCGGAUUUACUGGGCGUAAAGCGCACGUAGGCGGACUAUUAAGUCAGGGGUGAAAUCCCGGGGCUCAACCCCGGAACUGCCUUUGAUACUGGUAGUCUUGAGUUCGAGAGAGGUGAGUGGAAUUCCGAGUGUAGAGGUGAAAUUCGUAGAUAUUCGGAGGAACACCAGUGGCGAAGGCGGCUCACUGGCUCGAUACUGACGCUGAGGUGCGAAAGCGUGGGGAGCAAACAGGAUUAGAUACCCUUGUAGUCCCAUG
RNAcentral lists this ribosomal RNA (451 nucleotides) under uncultured organism. RNAcentral describes it as "partial 16S ribosomal RNA". It matches the Rfam family "Bacterial small subunit ribosomal RNA", at positions 332 to 799 of the family's 1533-position model. The record is from RNAcentral.